RNAcentral lists this ribosomal RNA (977 nucleotides) under Frontiniella regilla. RNAcentral describes it as "eukaryotic LSU rRNA". It matches the Rfam family "Eukaryotic large subunit ribosomal RNA", at positions 117 to 916 of the family's 3401-position model. The record is from RNAcentral. Lineage: Eukaryota; Metazoa; Arthropoda; Insecta; Diptera; Tachinidae.
CACUUUGCCUUAAUGGUAAAUGUGAGAUGCAGUGUAUGGGAUGUCAAUUUUCUAGUUUGAGAAAUUAACGAUUUAAGUCCUUCUUAAAUGAGGCCAUUUACCCAUAGAGGGUGCCAGGCCCGUAUAACGUUAAUGAUAACUAGAUGGCAUUUCCAAAGAGUCGUGUUGCUUGAUAGUGCAGCACUAAGUGGGUGGUAAACUCCAUCUAAAACUAAAUAUAACCAUGAGACCGAUAGUAAACAAGUACCGUGAGGGAAAGUUGAAAAGAACUCUGAAUAGAGAGUUAAAUAGUACGUGAAACUGCUUAGAGGUUAAGCCCGAUGAACCUGAAUAUCCAUUGUAGAAAAUUCAUCAUUAUGAAUUUAAUAUUUAUUAAUAUUAAAAUAAUAGUGUGCACUUUUUCUACAGAGGACAUUGUAAUCUAUUGACAUAAAUUAAAUUUAUCAUAAGAUCAAUUGCGUAAGUUUAUUUAAAUUAUUUUGCUUGCAAUUUAACAUAGAAUAAAUGCUCUUGAUUUGAUAAAGUAUUGAUAGAUUUAUUAUAUAUAGUGCUUGAAUAUUUUUAUAUUCUAUAAUAACAUAUUAAUUAUUAAUUUUUAUGUUUAUUUUAUGCACUUAUAUGAUUAACAAUGCGAAAGAUUCAGGAUACCUUCGGGACCCGUCUUGAAACACGGACCAAGGAGUCUAACAUAUUUGCAAGUUAUUGGGAAUAAAAACCUAAUAGCAAAAUUAACAUAACUUAAAUUAAUUGGGAUUAGUUUGUAGCCUAUUUAUAGUCUAUAAAUACAAUCCCGGGGCGUUCUAUCGUUAUGUAUGAUAAUAUUUAUAUUAUUUAUGCCUCUAACUAGAGCGUACCUUGAGCAUAUAUGCUGUGACCCGAAAGAUGGUGAACUAUACUUGAUCAGGUUGAAGUCAGGGGAAACCCUGAUGGAAGACCGAAACAGUUCUGACGUGCAAAUCGAUUGUCAGAAUUGCAGU